UACAGCAGACCCUCCUGACCAGGUGCCUGGUGAGAUCAAGCACUACAGCACACCCUCCUGACCAGGUGCCCGGUGAGAUCAUCGCACUACAGCAGACCCUCCUGACCAGGUGCCUGGAAAGAUCAAGCACUACAGCAGACCCUCCUGACCAGGUGCCUGGAGAGAUCAAGCACUACAGCAGACCCUCCUGACCAGGUGCCUGGUGAGAUCAAGCACUACAGCAGACCCUCCUGACCAGGUGCCUGGUGAGAUCAAGCACUACAGCAGACCCUCCUGACCAGGUGCCUGGUGAGAUCAAGCACUACAGCAGACCCUCCUGUCCAGGUGCCUGGAGAGAUCAAGCACUACAACAGACCCUCCUGACCAGGUGCCUGGUGAGAUCAAGCACUACAGCAGACCCUCCUGACCAGGUGCCUGGUGAAAUCAAGCAGACUCCUGAGGGCUGGCCUUUGUUAGCAGCUCUGAUAUCCGCCCUCGAGCUCCUGGGUGUAAAGAGGCGAUAGGCUUGGUCUGGGAUCUGAGGAUGGCCACUGAUCUUCAGUUCUCCUGAGCAGUUGUGUAAUCCAACAUUCUAGAUUGGGUAGACAUUUAGUGGUAAAAUGAACAGUGGGAAACACAAAUAUCAAGAGAAAAAUGUAUGACAAAAUGUAUUUCUUUUCUUUUAACUGUAGACAAAAGAGUGUGUUUGGUACGUCAAUGGAUAUUUGUUUGUUUUUAAAGAUAAAGAGAGAGUCCAUCAGAAAAGAAAGAAACCAUUGCAGGAUGAACCAGCACAGAACGGAAGACAAGAAAGUGUGAACGGACGAGGCUUCUACUCGACCUAUGUCCCAGACUUUUCCAGGUACGAAGGGAGAUCCCACUUUCCUGCUGAUAACGCUGGCAGCUUGUGUGAGACAGGUGCUAUAAGCGCGCCUUUAAAGAAUUCGUAUGGAGGAGGACGCUAAAUCAGAAGAUAAAUGAAUCAAAUAAAACGUAGCUACUCUAAGGUGUGCAAAGGAAAUGUAACAAUAAACACCCGCAGAAAAUUACAUUUAUCAACUUUUAACAACCGUUUUUUGUAAAUCAUGGAGGGAAACAUUAAAGUUAUCACGUACAUUUUUACCCCUUUACACUGAGAUUUCCAGCUCAGAUUCCUUCUCUCUCUGUCAUAAUGCCCGAAGGCAGUAUUAUUUUAUUUAUUUAUUUAUUUAUUUAUUUAGGAGCGCAUUCCAUCUAUACAUUUAAAUGAUUAGCGCCCUCUGUCUGUAGUCAUUAGUUUCUUAUUUUGUCUUUAUUUAUCAUUAAGCACAGUUAAUGAGUCUGUAAAUAGGACUGCUUUCUUAGGAUUUAAUUCUGCUAUUUUUAAUUAUCGCAAAUACAAUAGCUACCAUUUUUUUGUAGACAUUAUUAUUAUUAUUAGUAGUAGUAGUAGUAGUAGUCGUAGUAGUCCUAUUUAAGACCCAGGGCGGACUACACCAACUGCCCAGUGGCAGCCGGUGCAAAAUUUAAAAUUCAAUUUAGCAACCUAAACAAAAAGGGGUGCUAACAAAGACUGGGCCUUAACAAACGAAAAGAAAACUGGUCAAAAAGGACUGUAAAUUAAAUGUUCAAAACAAAAGGGGAGGUGGUACAGAGCACGCCCCCUAGAGCCCACUGGUCGACAAAAGAUGUCAUGUCGCCAGCAGACUCCGCGUGGGCAUGCUCUAACUUAACCCGAGAUCGGGCGAGGGCCCUGAACAUGGCCCCACAA
Molecule: long non-coding RNA, 1729 nt
Organism: Acipenser ruthenus (sterlet)
Lineage: Eukaryota; Metazoa; Chordata; Actinopteri; Acipenseriformes; Acipenseridae
Exons: 3
Source: RefSeq, a predicted model, not a curated record